RNAcentral lists this ribosomal RNA (725 nucleotides) under uncultured marine eukaryote. RNAcentral describes it as "SSU rRNA". It matches the Rfam family "Eukaryotic small subunit ribosomal RNA", at positions 452 to 1185 of the family's 1831-position model. The record is from RNAcentral.
UGACUCAGGGAGGUAGUGACAAUAAAUAACAAUACAGGGCCUUUUUAGGUCUUGUAAUUGGAAUGAGAACAAUUUAAAUCCCUUAUCGAGGACCCAUUAGAGGGCAAGUCUGGUGCCAGCAGCCGCGGUAAUUCCAGCUCUAAUAGCGUAUAUUAAUGUUGUUGCAGUUAAAAAGCUCGUAGUUGGAUUUUGGUGUUUGACAAACGGUCGGCCUUACGGUUUGUACUGUUUGUUGGCACUUCUUUUCUGGGGAACUCACUGUUCUUAAUUGAAGGGUGUUGUAACGCAGAUCGUUUACUUUGAAAAAAUUAGAGUGUUCAAAGCAGGCCAACGCAUUGAAUACAUUAGCAUGGAAUAAUGGAAUAGGACUUUGGUCUUAUUUUGUUGGUUUCUAAGGCCGAGGUAAUGAUUAAUAGGGAUAGUUGGGGGCGUUUAUAUUCCGUUGUCAGAGGUGAAAUUCUUGGAUUUACGGAAGAUAAACUACUGCGAAAGCAUUCGCCAAGGAUGUUUUCAUUAAUCAAGAACGAAAGUUAGGGGAUCGAAGACGAUCAGAUACCGUCGUAGUCUUAACCAUAAACCAUGCCGACUAGGGAUCAGCAGACGUUCUUUAACGACUCUGUUGGCACCUUGUGAGAAAUCAAAGUUUUUGGGUUCCGGGGGGAGUAUGGUCGCAAGGCUGAAACUUAAAGGAAUUGACGGAAGGGCACCACCAGGAGUGGAGCCUG